AAAACUUUCAACAACGGAUCUCUUGGUUCUGGCAUCGAUGAAGAACGCAGCGAAAUGCGAUAAGUAAUGUGAAUUGCAGAAUUCA
This 85-nucleotide ribosomal RNA is filed under the name Lecidella stigmatea. RNAcentral describes it as "partial 5.8S ribosomal RNA". It matches the Rfam family "5.8S ribosomal RNA", at positions 1 to 83 of the family's 154-position model. Rfam says of the family: 5.8S ribosomal RNA (5.8S rRNA) is a component of the large subunit of the eukaryotic ribosome. It is transcribed by RNA polymerase I as part of the 45S precursor that also contains 18S and 28S rRNA. Lineage: Eukaryota; Fungi; Ascomycota; Lecanoromycetes; Lecanorales; Lecanoraceae. The record is from RNAcentral.